Pelobates cultripes (western spadefoot toad) is the source of this 212-nucleotide non-coding RNA. The record is from the annotation of a GenBank genome assembly. Lineage: Eukaryota; Metazoa; Chordata; Amphibia; Anura; Pelobatidae.
CUCUGAUCUGUGGCAAUUACUUUGUCUUGAGAAAGUCCCGUGGGCGGGACGAAACGCGUCGACGAGUCACAGCUGAUUACGUGACGUUCUGCUCUGUUGCUGUGGGGAGCUGUAGUGUUUGCCGGUGUCUGUCGGGAGUUGGUUUCUCACACCGCGGUCUUUUUUGAAGACACCGACCGCGGUGUAAUACGCUAUAUUCAGUUUGUGGGUGA